Long non-coding RNA from Bufo gargarizans (Asiatic toad), 430 nucleotides. RefSeq lists it as uncharacterized. Lineage: Eukaryota; Metazoa; Chordata; Amphibia; Anura; Bufonidae. The record is from RefSeq and is a predicted model, not a curated record. The transcript has 3 exons.
ACAAACUAGAGUCUCACAUAAGCAAAAUCACUUGCUUAGAAAUCAGUACAAAAGAGACAUAUGCACUUAGCGGCUGUGAAGACUCCGUUCAGCGUUUGUGGAAUAUGGAGAAGGGUGACUGGGAACAUGAGAUGUGUUAUAAGGGCUUCUUCUUCCAAGGUGUUGAAUGCGCCUGUUUCUCACCAGAUGACUGUUAUAUUUAUACUGGAUCUCAGGACAGAGCAGUCAAAGUAUGGGAUGUAACAAAUGGUUCUUUGCUUGCAGUGCAAUAUGUAUACGCAACCAUCACUCGUCUUGUCUCCACCCCUGAUGGAUUUUUGGGAACCACAAGACUGGGGUAUGUCAUUCAGGAGAAGUUUCAGUGCCCACAAACUGUAAGCCAGCAGUACAACCCAUUGCAGAACAUCAAGGCUACAUGCACGGUUAAAUC